RNAcentral lists this long non-coding RNA (343 nucleotides) under Prunus persica (peach). RNAcentral describes it as "long non-coding RNA (PPER_LNC007886)". The record is from RNAcentral. Lineage: Eukaryota; Viridiplantae; Streptophyta; Magnoliopsida; Rosales; Rosaceae.
UUGUGGGGUGGGGAUGGGAUGGGAUGGAAUGAAUUUGGUUGUUGGCGGGGAAGAAGAUUAGGGAGAAAUAUGAGUUUAGUUUUUAUUUUUAUUUGUCUUUUUUUUAUAAUGUUUUUUAAUUUUAAAAAUUCAUUCAUUUUAAAAAGAAGAAAUUUUUAUUAUUUUUUAGUCUAUGUGGAUGCUACAUCAUGUUAAAACUGGAAUCCAAUUUUACCACAUCAACAAUUAAUAUAAUUUUUAACAUUUUUCCUACAUAUUCUACAUAAUUAAGCCCCUUUCAGUAAACUGUGGUUUUUUUCUCUAUAGAUCAUUAGUAAAAAGAACUCACCAGUUUAUGGUAUUU